GCCUGGCCCAAGGCACACCUUUAAAUGCUGAAUCACCCUGAUAGUGAGGACCAAGGUGUCUUAGUUGCUUUUCCUGUUGCUGUGAUAAAACACUCUGACAAACACAACUCAGGGGAGAAAGGGUUUGUACUGGUUUACAGUUCAAGUGUACAGUCCAUCAUGGCGGGGAGUCGGGGCGGCAGGAGCCUGAAGCCGUUGCUCACAUCACUUCCACAACAAGGAAUCAGUGAGGAAUGAAUGCAUGCAAGCACACAGUUUUGCGUCCCCUUUCUACAGUCCAAGUCCACAGCAUAGGGAACUGUUCUGCCCAUAACUGAGACAGGACUUCCCACAUCGAUUAACACAAUCACGGUAACCCCACAGGCUGCCGGGAGGCCGUCUCCCUGCCUGAGUCUAGAUGGCAUCACAGGGACAAAUCGCAUUAGCCAUCACACCUGGAAAGGCACAGUGGCAGAUGGAGCGGUCACAAUGAAAGGCGGCGGCAGCAGCAUGUUCACAGCACCAGUGCUCACCCCUCUGAAGCCAUGACACCUGCCGGACACAGAAGCUUGAAGAGUUCUAGCAAAGAGGAGUGCUCCCUCCUCGAACCUGGCUUCCGUGCCCUCGGGAUCGUCACUUCUCGGAAGAGGGCAGCAGAGACACUUAGGAAGCAAUCAUAGCCUGGCUGAAGACUCCUGGGAUAAUGAAGUCAAUCCAAAUGAGAGGGUGAGAUCGAGAUCCCUACGUUGCCUGGGGGAUAAGAGAAGGACCUCAGCUAAAAACAGGAUCAUCUAGCUGAGAGGAGGUCAUACUAACACAACAUAGCUGGUAUCUCCAGAAAAAGAAGACAUUUACACAGAGACCUGUGCACAGAGAAAAAUGCCAGAGCUCGGAGGCAGAGAUCGGGAUAGUGCACCCAGAAGACAAACAAACAAACAAACAAAAACACCAAAUAAAUGAUGAGGGAUGCCAGAAAGCCAGAAGGGCAAAGAGUAGAUGCUUUCUGAAACCAACCCUCCUGAUACUGUGAUCUCGAACUUCUGGUCUCCAGAAUUGAGGGGAUAAUUGAAGCCACUCAGUCUGUGGGACUCUGCCCUGGCAGCCCUUCUGACCUAGAAUCUGAUGUAGAAAUUGAUGUGAGAAGGGCAGAGCUGAAGAGUCAGAACCACAGGGGGAGCAGCUCCAGGGAGUUCUGCAAACACUGCCCCAGUCUCCGGCUUCCUGGUUUCAGCUGGGCCCCGAUCUCAUGAGUUCAAUUCUGGGAUUCAUGAGAUACCAGGUACCCUUCCCGUGUGUAUCACUGUGUAUCCUUCCUGUGUGUAUCACUGUGUAUCCUUCCUGUGUGUAUCACUGUGUAUCCUUCCCGUGUUAUCACUGUGUAUCCUUCCCGUGUUAUCACUGUGUAUCCUUCCCGUGUGUAUCACUGUGUAUCCUUCCUGUGUGUAUCAGUGUGUAUCACUGUGUACCCUUCCCAUGUGUAUCACUGUGUAUCCUUCCCGUGUGUAUCAGUGUGUAUCACUGUGUAUCCUUCCCAUGUGUAUCACUGUGUAUCCUUCCCGUGUGUAUCACUGUGUAUCCUUCCCCUGUGUACCACUGUGUAUCCUUCCUAUGUGUAUCACUGUGUAUCCUUCCUAUGUGUAUCACUGUGUAUCCUUCCCGUGUUUAUCAGUGUGUAUCACCGUGUAUCCUUCCCGUGUGUAUCACUGUGUAUCCUUCCCGUGUGUAUCACUGUGUAUCUUCCCCUGUGCAUCACUGUGUAUCCUUCCCAUGUGUAUCACUGUGUAUCCUUCCUGUGUGUAUCACUGUAUAUCCUUCCCCUGUGUAUCACUGUAUAUCCUUCCCCUGUGUAUCACUAUGCAUCCUUCUCAUGUGUUUCCUGACCUUUUGCCCCACUUUAGUGUUGUAGUUUCAUUUUAAUUGCUGUGAUGAAAUGAAGAAAAGCACUUAGAGGAGAAAGUUUAUUCCAGGUUACAGUCCAUCACUGAAGGGAAGUCAAGGCAGGAAAUCAAAGCAGCUAGUCACAUCAUAUCCACAGUCUAGAGCAGAGAAAAAUACAUGUGUUUAUUUUCCUUGUUUGCUUGAGCUUAACUUGACUUCUAUACAGUUCAGAACUCCCUGCUUAGGGAAUAAUACCACCCACAGUGGGCUGAGUCUUUCCACAUCAAUCACUAGUCAAGACAAUCCCCCACAGAUAUCCCCACAGGCUAACCUGAUCUAGAUAAUUCCUUAAUUAAGAUUCACCCCAUGUAAUUCUAGGUUGUGGAAGGUUAACAUGUCAUCACAGAUAGCAUAUCCUUUACUUAAAUGCAAGUGGCUGAAAGCCCAAGUCUUCGUGUUCCUUUGAAAUAAGAGUUAGACUUUGGUGUCACAACAGCCCUGGUGUCAGAAGGCCAUUUCCAACUCCUUGGUGGAAUACCCUAAGCUAGGUGAGUUACCCAGAUCUCUUGAGGAGAUGGGUCAGAUGCUAGGCAGAAGGACAAAUAUCCACUGCGGUCCUUCCUUCUUCUCAUUCUUCUCAUUCUUCUCUCUCUCUCUCUCCCUCACUUGGAGUUAGCCACAGAGGUUCGGCAAACAACGGUGUGUGUGUAUGUGUGUGUGUGUGUGUGUGUGUGUGUGUGUGUAGGGUAUCGGUGUAGCAUCAGAGAAGGAAUGAAAGGCCCAAAGUCCAUGGGGAAGUGUACUUGGGCUCUGGCCGGCAUCAGAAAGAGACAGAAAAGAAGACAAGGAGGAAGUUGCAUCUUUCUGAGUCAGGACUCAUCCAAGGGGUCAGCUCUAACAUAGCCUCUGGUUCUGUAUUGAUUAUUCAAAGGACUGGGACUUUUGGGAAGGAAAAGCACAUUAUCUCAUUUAAGGGAAUAAUUAUUUCUCCCAUUUCUUUAGCAUGGCCUAAGGUGAAUCAGCCUUUCUGAGGGGUGGUCCCUUGGCCAGAUGAUUGAUAGAUGGAUUAACUCUUACGUUUUGGGUAGCUUGGAAUGUUAGGUCUCCACCUAAGACUAGAGGUGGAGUCCGUUCUUUUGACAGGAAGAAAUAGAUUUCCCUUAACGGGUUUCAGUAGAGCCUGAUCAAGGCUGCUGUAACAUCUCCCAUUCUGAAGAGGUUACUCUAACAUCAUUAGGAGAUAGGCUGAAAUUGGGGAAUGGAUAGAAACCAUUUCUAUCAUGAAAAUCUAGAGAUUAAGUUGUUGGGGAUUAGUGUCUGGACCAGAGUCAUACCCUUGCCUAUAGCGUCAAGGCAGGCACGCUCAUUUAGGAGAUGAGAAACCAGAGCUCUCCCUCGCUAAGACCAGAGAGCCAAGGGCAUCAGAGCUGCUGCUUCAGGCCCCCGCCCCAGCUGCCUGUCCAGUUUCUGUCUCUUGUUCUCAUCAUGAGUGGUGUUUGGCGCUGCAGUCUCCCGGGUGAUGUUAACUGCUCUCAGCCUUUGCAGCUAGCUACACACGUCUUUCUUUUUAAUACCCUGCCCCUGUUGGUGAACAUUUGAACUGUUACUGUGGUUAAAUACGUCAGAGCUGCCCAAGCUGUGGGUAUAACUUCAUCACCACUCUUGUACCACGUUUUAGAAAGAGCAUGUCUCUGACUGUCUCAGCAUAGAUCCAGUCAAGUGAGGCAGCUGAGCUGAAGGAUGGUCACAAUUUCAAAUGUGAUGGGUAGUUCCAAAUGACCCAGCAGAGGCUGGGCAAACAGUCUCUAAGGGUUGUUCCCUUCAGCCUCACCAAGAGCCCCAUGUUAUCAAUCUCCUUAGCUUUUAAACAGCAGAUGGGUGAAAAUAUUGAAUUUCAAUGUGCAUGUCUUUAAUUAUGCAUGAGUGUGAGGCUGAAUGUCUUUUCAUUUGCUAAUGGUGUUCCUGAGACUUGUCUGGGCCAGCCUCAUGACCUGGCUAAAGGGCCACUGAGAUCACCUAGUGCCAGUUCCAGAUCACUAGCUGGUUCCAGGAAGUGGCCCAGCGGGAACCCUGGUCACGCCAUAGAGUUCACUGGUCAAGGAAGUCUGAUGGUAUCUGGCUUGUCUGCUCAGACAGAAGAGCUGUGUGUGGUACCACAGCCUCAGUCCCCAUAGAGGAACAAACCUGACCACUUGAAUUUGUGGCUAUGUUACCUCCCUGGGGCAUCCUAGGCCUUUCCAGGGCCACAGGACAAGUGGGUGGUUCCUCUGUUGCUCAGAGGUUUAGAGGAAUCCAUGCUAAUGUGACCCCACCCCCACCCCCAUCUCAUUCUGGACAACACCGAGCACUGUGAGUGGCCAGCAUGCUCAUGUGUUUUGUCAUUUAAUGCUGGUCUCUGGUUCUCUAGAAAGACUUGCUGCGUCUGAGAUCCAGGUCUGACAUGACUGUAGCUGGAGAGUUUUCUCUCCGGGUCCCGCCAAGCCCCGGCAGUCCGACAGCCCACUUAUAAAAUAAACACACAGACGCUUAUAUUAUUUAAACUGUAUGGUCAUGGCAGGCUUCUUGUUAACCGUUCUUAUAUCUUAAAUUAACCCAUUUCUAUAAAUCUGUACCUUGCCACAUGGCACAUGGCUUACCGGCAUCUUCACAUGCUGCUUGUCUUGGCAGUGGCUGGCCGUGUCUCCCUGCAUCAGCCUUCCACUUCCCAGAAUUCUCUUCUCUGUUUGUCCCGCCUAUGCUUCCUGCCUGGCCACUGGCCAAUCAGCAUUUUAUUUAUGCAGAGUGAUAUCCACAACACAUGACUGUUCUGCUUCUGGGAUGAUGUCACCCAAUGGCUCAGUGAAUAUUUGCUAAUAAAUAAUGCCGAACUAAGGCAUCGGGCAGGGUGCUUGGCAUACCAUGUCUCAUUUAUUCUUUCUCUCCUAGUUUUUACUUGACAAAAUUUAAACAUUAAGUGGAAAAAAUACAAAAUGUUGUAACUAUUCUUCAUUGUCAAUUUGACUGAAUCUAGAGUCACUGUGGGGAUACACCCCUGGUUUCUCCAGAGAGGUUUAACUCUGGGGAAGACCUGCCCUAAAUAUGGUGGCACCAUUCCAUGGGCUGGGGUCCUGGCUGAAUAAAAGCAGAAAGGGAGCUGAGCACCAGCAUCCAUUGCUCUCUGCUUCCUGACUCUGAACUCAACGUGACCAGCUGCCUCAGGUUCCUUCAUUCAUUCAUUUGCCACCAAAAUGGACUGUGUCCUCAAAGUAUGAGCCAAAGUCAGUGUUCCCUCCCUCCCUCC
Non-coding RNA from Peromyscus maniculatus bairdii (prairie deer mouse), 5137 nucleotides. The record is from RefSeq and is a predicted model, not a curated record. Lineage: Eukaryota; Metazoa; Chordata; Mammalia; Rodentia; Cricetidae.